RNAcentral lists this long non-coding RNA (576 nucleotides) under Homo sapiens (human). RNAcentral's name for it is "HSALNT0406133". The record is from RNAcentral. Lineage: Eukaryota; Metazoa; Chordata; Mammalia; Primates; Hominidae.
GUGUGGGGUUAAGAGCUGAAGGACAGGAUGCCCCCUUCCCCAGGAGCUGCUGGGGCUUUCGCUGGGCGUGUGCCUACCCACCCACCCACUGUGAGCUGUUGACUUGGUGAUGUGCAUUCCCUGGGAGAGGCCGUCUCACUUGUUUCCUCUCUGGGAUUCCUCCUUGGAGUGCUGGAAGUUUCCUGGUGAAUCCUACCAGAGUGCCCUGAGCCAUCUGUCUUGGAAGGACACAACAUGCCUGCCUCCUGCAGGCACCAGAGGCAAGAACCACAGUUGUCUGCAGAGAUUACUCUGUGAGCCCCGGGCUUCACCAGGAAAACUCGUCAGCAUAGCCAGAAGGACACAAAAGCUCUACACAUCCCCAGUGAAAUGAGGAAGCCCACUUCAGCUGCUGCCGUCCCCGCUGGCAGCUCUCACCAGGGACUGUUCAGAGGCACCGGUAUUUCCCUUCCCAGUGAAUUUCUCAAAGUCUUGGUUUUCUGGGGGAUCAACUUAUGAGCAACCAAAAAAAAUACAAUGUUUACUACAAACUCUGUUAAGGGGUUAUUUAUUUUGAAAGCAACUGGGAGCCACUAA